RNAcentral lists this long non-coding RNA (2627 nucleotides) under Homo sapiens (human). RNAcentral's name for it is "HSALNT0383802". The record is from RNAcentral. Lineage: Eukaryota; Metazoa; Chordata; Mammalia; Primates; Hominidae.
GACAGGACAGCCUGAGUGGGGCUGACAUGAGGUCAAGGGACUGGGAUGAUGGCCUCACAAUGUGGCACUGCGGAGACAGGACAGCCUGAGUGGGGGCCUACACGAGGUCAGGGGGCUGGGAUGAUGGCCUCACAAUGUGGCACUGCGGAGACAGGACAGCCUGAGUGGGGCCUACACGAGGUCAGGGGGCUGGGACGAUGGCCUCACAAUGUGGCUGCCCCUGGGCUGGGCACUGUGUGUCAUGCCCAGGCACUUGCAAUCAUUCAGGGCAAAAACAGCAGCUGCCUGAUAGAAGACUGUUUCAAGAUGUUAUGGAAUACAUGUUUGUGUCUCUGCAAAAUGCAGAUGUUGGAGCCGUGGAGAUAAACCCUUCGGAGGCAGCUCAUGGCCUUUCAAAUUCAUGCAUUACACAUGCAGAUUUCAGGGCUCCAUCCCAGACCUCAGGAGUCGGCAUCAGGCGCAUGGAAGUUUGAGGAGUGCUGAGGUUGAGGGAUGAAGUCACACAAGGAAGUUCCCGCCUUGAACACAAGACAGGUGCUACAGCAACGCGACUCCCGCCCUGCUGGUGUUGGGGGCACCUUGGAGGAAGCUGGCUGCACACUGGGAUCUACUGCAUGCAGCUACCUGGUGAGCUUUGAAAAAUCCCACACCAAUACAAUCCGAUGGUGGAGGGGGUCCCAAGACCCAGAGCUCAGUGUUUAUAAAGCUCUCCAAGUGCUUGCAGUGGGCAUUCAGAACCGAGGGCCUCCGACUUAACCUGAACCUCCUCUCAGGUCCCUGUGGAGAAUGCAAAGAGCUCUCUUUUCUUCCUGUUAAGGAGUAGUUGUGUCUCUGCACACACAAAUAUGUAUAAUUAAGCAAGAACAACAUCCAGGCGCAGCCCUGACUGCAGUCUAUAGCCAGAUGACAGGUGUGCCUAAAGGUAAGGGAGCAAAGGCUUUCAGUCAAAAUUCUUUUUAGAGGCCAGGUGCGGUGGCUCACGCCUGUAAUCCCAGCACAUUGGGAGGCUGAGGCAGGCGGAUCACGAGGUGAGGAGUUUGAGACCAGCCUGGCCAACAUAGUGAAACCUUGUCUCUACUAAAAAUACAAAAAUUAGCCAGGCGUGGUGGCGUGCACCUGUAAUCCUAGCUACUCGGGAGGCUGAGGCAGGAAAAUGGCUUGAACCCAGGAGGUGGAGGUUGUGGUGAGCUGCGAUCGUGCCACUGCACUCCAGCCUGGGCAACAGAGCAAGACUCCAUCUCAAAAAAAAAAAAAAUCACUUACAAAAGCAAUCUGGUAAGUAGUUGUACCCAGAAACUGAGAGUCCACACAAAUGUGGUAGAUGAAGGGAAAAGCCAACGUUCCCAAUGCGGAACAAAGCCACGGAGCCGAACGCUAAACGCAGAGCGAAGUCACGCCAAUCCCCUGCAAAACCACGCGAGUGGUCCACUGGGAGCGGGACAGACUGAAAAAAGGGCAGCAUUUGAGUGAAGUCAGAUACAACCACGUGCCCUCUGGCAAACCGACAGGCGACUCAAAGUGGAGCUGGUGACGAUGAGACCAACACUACAAUCACCAGGUUGCACCACACAAAACUGCUUCUAUUCAACUGUUUUGACCUCAAAGCAUCCAUUUCAUAAGGCUCCAUUUUAUAACAUACCAAGGAAAAUAGCAACAUUUCUAAAUUUGAAUGUUUAUAAUGCAUAACUUUAAAUAUGAAUGUAUAACUACAUCAAUAAGUUACUUAAUGGCAGGCAUUUGAUGAGUCCACUUACAUCACUAGAGACUUUUAUAUCUAAAUGUGUUAUGUAAUUCAAAAGAAACCCUGCUUCCUGGGAAAACGGGAUUACCAUAUAAUCAGGGUUAAUUUCUGUGACUAUUUGGCACGUAUGAGGCCCACUUAAGAACAGAGGGCUGGGUGCGGUGGCUCACACCUGUAACCCCAGCAUUUUGGGAGGCUGCAGUGGGCAGGUCACCUGAGGCCAGAAGUUCGAGACCAGCCUGGCCCACAUGGCAAAACGCUGUCUCUACUAAAAAUAUAAAAAUUAGCUGGGCAUGGUGGUGAGCACCUGUAAUCCCAGCUACUUGGGAGGCUGAGACAGGAGAAUCACUUCAACCCAGGAGGCAGAGGUUGCAGUUAGCUGAGAUUGCACCACUGCACUCCAGCUUGGGUGAUAGAGCAAGACUCUGUUUCAAAAAAGUAAAAACUAAAAACAGAGAGAUACACCUGCUGCCUGCCGACCUGCAGGCAACACCAACAUCCCUUUUCUCUUCAGAUCUUUUCUCGGGCCAUUGGCCACAGUGCCGCCUCUACUGCAAAACAUGUACCCAGGAGGGAAAGGCAGGCAGCCUCCUAUUCCUUUCUGGAGAGAGGAGCAUGGGGCAGGGGGCUGUUGGAUUUCUGGGGAGGAAACUGCACAGAUGGAUGGAGGAACCCGCCUCACUCCCCUGCAUCUCCUGAAGAGGUGUCCGUGCCCUGCCAGCUGGGGAGUCAGUCCCACUGAAUCACUGCUGUUAAGGGGCUCAGCCCUGCAGGAGUGCCAGGAAGGGCUUCCGUUUCUUCUGCGAGUGUUGCUGAUAUGUAUGUGAAAAUCACACAAGGGCAAGGGCUUCACCCUGUGCGUCUAUUAAAACCAAGUGCAGCAUUG